RNAcentral lists this ribosomal RNA (397 nucleotides) under uncultured Porphyrobacter sp. RNAcentral describes it as "bacterial SSU rRNA". It matches the Rfam family "Bacterial small subunit ribosomal RNA", at positions 986 to 1382 of the family's 1533-position model. The record is from RNAcentral. Lineage: Bacteria; Pseudomonadati; Pseudomonadota; Alphaproteobacteria; Sphingomonadales; Erythrobacteraceae.
AUCCUAGGACGACUUCUGGAGACAGAUUUCCUUCCCUUCGGGGACCUAGUGACAGGUGCUGCAUGGCUGUCGUCAGCUCGUGUCGUGAGAUGUUGGGUUAAGUCCCGCAACGAGCGCAACCCUCGUCCUUAGUUGCCAUCAUUAAGUUGGGCACUUUAAGGAAACUGCCGGUGAUAAGCCGGAGGAAGGUGGGGAUGACGUCAAGUCCUCAUGGCCCUUACAGGCUGGGCUACACACGUGCUACAAUGGCAUCUACAGUGGGCAGCUAUCCCGCAAGGGUGCGCUAAUCUCCAAAAGAUGUCUCAGUUCGGAUUGUCCUCUGCAACUCGAGGGCAUGAAGGCGGAAUCGCUAGUAAUCGCGGAUCAGCAUGCCGCGGUGAAUACGUUCCCAGGCCUU